Naja naja (Indian cobra) is the source of this 2829-nucleotide long non-coding RNA. The record is from Ensembl. NCBI's taxonomy places the organism in Eukaryota, Metazoa, Chordata, Lepidosauria, Squamata, Elapidae.
AUGGCGCUGCCACAUGACAUAUUGGGACUUUUUUCCCCUUCGCUAAACCGGGUGUGGGUGUGGCCAGCGUGUAACACAUCCGGCCUGUGGACCAGGAGUUUGACAGCCCUGAUCAACAGACUUUCAACAGUCCUGUAUUUCAGCUUUAAAAAGCCUAGCCUUUAUAUAGCAACAUAUUUUCAAGGUGCCAGAUGAAGCAAACUACUAGCCUCCUGACUCAACACUCUCAGCUUGGCCCAGCACUUGGUCUUCACUUCAUUCUAGAAGGCUAAAAGGAUAGGUCCCCUCAAAUCUCAGUUGGAAGGCUGUUCCAAAAGGCUGGGAUGGUAACAGAGAAGGUACAUUUCUAAGGGCCCAUUAGAUGACAGCUUUAAGGGAAAGGACCUGGAGUGGACCUACCAUACCUGACUUAGUAGAAGGAGCAGAGAUCCUUAGGUGCAGGUGGUCCCACAAAUAACAUGGCCCUGUGUAGUGAUAACAAGCCCCUCAAAACUGCACCCAGAAAGGAAAUGGGAGCAAUCCAGCUCACACAACAGUGGUGUAAAUCAAGCAAACCACAGGCACCAAGACCUAUGCCUGUUAAUUGCAUUUUGGAUCAGCUGCAGUUUUUGGAUGGUCUUCAAAGGCAGCCCAUUACAGCAUUGUACUAAUCCAAAUGAAAAGUGACUACAGCACGAAUGACAAAACGUAAGCAAAUGUGCAAAGUAAGACAACAGAAAAGUGCCAACAUACGCACUAGGAGUCGGGCAGCAUAUAAAUGUAAUAAAAAUAGUUAUUGUUCUUUUAAACACAGUACAAGUCCAUUGUGUAAUGCUACUUUCAAAUAGAUACUUUGGGGGGUGGGGGCAAAAGUAAGCUGCAGAAGGAAACUUUUUCUUUAAAACUAAAUGAAAUUGAAAGAAAAGCAGAAUUAACCUCAAAAUUUUAAAAAGAAACUUACGAUUCCACUUAAAAUAGUUAUGAACACCUACUGCAGAGAAAAGUAUGUGUAUAGCAGAAUUAGUUUUCUCAGGUUACAACAUUCAGUAGAUGAAACAUGACUAAGUAGGCUGUGUGAAACUCACACAUGGAUAUCCAUGACUUUAGCUAAUGGAAAGCUAUAAAAUGAAAAUCUUGUAAUUAUUUUCACGUUUUCAGAUGACAAAAGCUGGUAUUUCAGUAAUCCUAAAAAUUUAUUUACAUUCUUAUAAACACAUCUUAAAACAUAUGAAAUAUGGGUAUUUAUCUCUUGGAUUAGAUAUUAUACAGAAGAUUUAUAUGUAUUGUGCAAACAAACCGAAUUCCAUUUUGUAUAAAAUACAUGUAUUUACAUAUAUGUUAGGCUAAAAAUAGGAGUUGAUGCACUACUAUAAAUAAAUAGUUUAUCCACUGGGAAACUGUUGACAAAGCUUCUUUUAUACAGCAUAUUUAAAUGAUAUUGAAUCUUAGAAACAUAAAGGGUUCUGCUCAAGUUUACAGAAAACAUUGUUACAUCCUAAUAUAUAUUUUAAUCCAAACCAGUUUCUAAACAAGACAACUAUUUUAAUGAAUUAGCAUUUAUACCAAACAACAUUUUUCUAUUUAAGUAUGCUUCUGAUGAUUGGCUGAUUACAAUAGCCAAUUUUGAGAUCAUGCUGGACAGAGUGCAUAGAAGCUUUAGCCCAGCAUAUGUUCAGGGCAUUGGGUAUGGGAAGUCUGAGAUUGCCCAGAUUGCCAUAUACCUGCCUCUAGGCAGAGCUAUCUGCUUUAAAGCUGAAUUUGAUUAAGAUUUUAAAAGGGUAGAUGAAACUAAAAUAUUAUGUUUAUAUUUUAAGCAGAAAUCUUGUAUAGUUUCAUACCCAAUAUAUUUUUCUGCCAUUUUAGUGUUUUUUUUCUUGUAAAUCAAAGUCUGCCAUAGAAUUGGACAUUCUAGAAACCAUUUAAUAAUACAUGGUUCUGAAAAUGAUCAUUAAUAAUGAUGAUUAUUAAGAGCCAAAGUGGCGCAGUGGUUAGAAUGCAGUACUGUAGACUACUGCUGACUGCCAGCUGACUGCAAUUUGGCAGUUUGAAUCUCACCAGGCUCAAGGUUGACUCAGUCUUCCAUCUUUCCGAGGUCGGUAAAAUGAGGACCCAGAUUAUUGGGGGCAAUAUGCUAACUCUGUAAACUGCUUAGAGGGGGCUGUAAAGCACUAUGAAGCGGUAUAUAAGUUUUAGCACUUAUUACACAGCAAAGUGCAGGCUACAUUUAAGCAGAAAGUAGCACUUUCAGAGCUUUUAUAAGUAGAGGCAUCCCUUCAUAUGAAAAGUAGAUAUAACUUGUUAUUCUUCAAUUUUUGUAAUUCUGUAGAGGGGGAACUAAUAGAAGACACAUUUUAAAGCCUUUUUGUUUUAUUCCUGGCUUUGAUUUCCAAGAAUAUAUUCAUUAAAAAAAUGGAUCCAAUGACAUGAGGAGGGUGUAGAAGGAUGGACUGAUGAAAACAGCAUUACAGCACAAGCCUCAUCCCAUUUCAUGACACUCCUUAUAUCAUGCAUUGCAUACAUGCCCCAAAGUAUUGGGGCUUGCAGUGUGAUGUUCCUUUUAUCAUUCUGAGAAAAGUAACCAGAUCCCGUGGAUGCGCUGAUUAAUAAAUUCUAACAUUGGGAAUGGAUUUAAGUUAUUUUCCUAAAUGCUGGUAACUUGAAAUUAAGUUCCAUCAAAAUAAGAGAAUGUUAGGUCUAAAUUUUAUCUGCUUAAUGAUAAUCUGCUGCUCGAUUUACAGAAUUGGCAGAAAUUGAGCAUUUAAUUUGUCAGUAAAAUCAACAGAUAGCCACAGUAGUUCAUAGCUACUUAUUCUUCUAUUAAACAAUGCAUAAUUGUUUAACUGAUUCAAA